GACGAACGCUGGCGGCGUGCUUAACACAUGCAAGUCGAACGGAAAGGCCCUGCUUUUGUGGGGUGCUCGAGUGGCGAACGGGUGAGUAACACGUGAGUAACCUGCCCUUGACUUUGGGAUAACUUCAGGAAACUGGGGCUAAUACCGGAUAGGAGCUCCUGCUGCAUGGUGGGGGUUGGAAAGUUUCGGCGGUUGGGGAUGGACUCGCGGCUUAUCAGCUUGUUGGUGGGGUAGUGGCUUACCAAGGCUUUGACGGGUAGCCGGCCUGAGAGGGUGACCAGCCACAUUGGGACUGAGAUACGGCCCGGACUCCUACGGGAGGCAGCAGUGGAGAAUAUUGCACAAUGGGCGGAAGCCUGAUGCAGCAACGCCGCGUGCGGGAUGACGGCCUUCGUGUUGUAAACCGCUUUCGCCUGUGACGAAGCGUGAGUGACGGUAAUGGGUAAAGAAGCACCGGCUAAGUACGUG
RNAcentral lists this ribosomal RNA (468 nucleotides) under uncultured bacterium. RNAcentral's name for it is "partial 16S ribosomal RNA". It matches the Rfam family "Bacterial small subunit ribosomal RNA", at positions 28 to 507 of the family's 1533-position model. The record is from RNAcentral.